GGUCGGUUAGCUUCGUCCGUAGAGGCCACCAGACUGCUUAAUCUGGCUGUCGCGGGUUCGAGCCCCGCAUCGGGCU
Non-coding RNA from Ostertagia ostertagi, 76 nucleotides. The record is from the annotation of a GenBank genome assembly. Lineage: Eukaryota; Metazoa; Nematoda; Chromadorea; Rhabditida; Trichostrongylidae.